This is a non-coding RNA of Dipodomys ordii (Ord's kangaroo rat), 60 nucleotides long. Lineage: Eukaryota; Metazoa; Chordata; Mammalia; Rodentia; Heteromyidae. The record is from Rfam.
GUGGCUCAGUGGUAGAGUGUUUGCCUUGCAUGCAUGAAGCCCUGGGUUCGAUUCCUCAGC